AUGGAGUAUAUGGCAGAGAAGAUAGAGAAAGCAAAGAAGCACACUGUGAGACUCGUAGGUAAUCAGGAAAGGAGGUAUGAGGUUCAGCUACCUACCGAUGGUUUUGGUUCUGCGAAUGAGGUGAAGACGCAUCAGGUAAAAAUUGGAACGGAAUUUUAUCCAAUGUGUGAGUGUACAUGCAACAAACCAAAGUUGUUGCACCUGCCUUGCUCACAUGUGUUGGCUGCCUGUGGCCAGGUUGAGUUGGAUGACGUCUCCUUUGUGUCGCCAUACUACUUAAAAGAGGUUGUACUGAACACAUGGACCGGUGAGAUGAUAGGGUUUAGAGUCGUUGGCAAUUUCAACAAGGUUAACGACGGUGAGAGAGUAUACAUUCCGGAUCCAGAACUUCGGCAAACAAGCAGGGGCGACGUAAGGCCCGUCGAAUCCGAAAUGAUAUGGACCAAUCUGAAGCUGGUGGAGCAACCAGACAAUGUUUGCUAUGCGUGGCUUAUGGGCAUAGGAUGA
RNAcentral lists this ribosomal RNA (507 nucleotides) under Triticum aestivum (bread wheat). Its description in RNAcentral is "partial small subunit ribosomal RNA". The record is from RNAcentral. Lineage: Eukaryota; Viridiplantae; Streptophyta; Magnoliopsida; Poales; Poaceae.